This is a long non-coding RNA of Sitophilus oryzae (rice weevil), 1098 nucleotides long. RefSeq lists it as uncharacterized. NCBI's taxonomy places the organism in Eukaryota, Metazoa, Arthropoda, Insecta, Coleoptera, Curculionidae. The record is from RefSeq and is a predicted model, not a curated record. The transcript has 5 exons.
CUUAACCUAAGGCACCAAAAAUUUGUUUUACGAGGAAGUAUAAUUAUUUUUAUUAUAUUCCUUUGAGAAAGCUAAAAAGUGUAUUAUGAUACCUCUACGUAAGUUCGAUGAUUACUUUUGAUAUCUUAGAGACGUCGAUCAGUAGGUAUAUUCAUUGAAAAUGGAUUUCCUCAAGAGUGGAUGUAAGGAAAAAUCAUAUUUCCAAGAAAUGAACCUCCUUAAGUCUUUAGGACAGAGACUUUUAAAUGACACUGUAAUAUAUAUCCUCGGUUUAAUUGAACAAAAUCUAGAAUAUCAAUAUGAGAGAAACAACAGCAAAAGUGUUUUAAAUCAACUCUUGUGUAUAUUAAGAUUCUACACUUCAGGGGCUAUGUCCAGUCUACAGCUUUUUUUAUGGGCAUGUAUGUUUGUUUCUACCACUUCUCGUAUUAUGUUACAAAAGUAUCCCAUGAACUUCCACUGCUUUACCCUCAGUUCAUAAAAAUGCCUGAAUAAGAAACUCUAGUUUUAGAGCAGGAACAAUUUUAUAGUAUAUUUGGGUUUCCUUGGAUUAUAGGGAUAGUUGAUGGAACACAAUGUAAGAAAACAUUCACCUGGGGGUAAUGAUGGAGAGGUAUUUAGAAAUAGAAAAGCAUUAUUUUCCCCAACAUUUAAAUUACUGGAAAUGCUAGUCUUAAAACCAUAGACAAUAGACAUGAUUGCUUGUUGGCAUGGGUCUGUGCAUGAAGCCACCAUUUUUUGGAUAUUAAGGACGUAUUAAGGACCCGCUUGGAGACUGGUGACUUUUCAAAUUAAAUCCUGCUUGGUGAUAGUGCAUAUGCAUUGAGGGGAUAUAUGCAGAAAGAGAGCUGAAGAACUGUAUUACUGAAGAAAUGUUUCAGAAUUAUCGGAAUAUGGAAACGCCACUUUCCAAUAUGUUUUAUGGUAUAAGACCAAAAUUGCAAACCACAAUGUCAGUUAUUGUUGCACAACAAUUUUGUUGUUUCAAUGUGCUACACAAUACAGCCAGAAUGAUACCUGAACAAGAGCUGCCGCCGUUAGAUGAAAUAAAUAUGGACCAAAUUAAUAAGAAGAGAAAUAAUAAAUUAUUUUGAAAGA